Molecule: ribosomal RNA, 265 nt
Filed under: uncultured archaeon
Lineage: Archaea
Description: partial 16S ribosomal RNA
Rfam family: Archaeal small subunit ribosomal RNA
Source: RNAcentral
AGACGUCUACAUUAGAUACCCCCGUAGUCCCAGCCGUAAACUAUGCGCGUUAGGUGUAUCGGUGACCACGAGUUACCGAGGUGCCGAAGGGAAACCGUGAAACGUGCCGCCUGGGAAGUACGGUCGCAAGGCUGAAACUUAAAGGAAUUGGCGGGGGAGCACCACAACAGGUGGAGCCUGCGGUUUAAUUGGACUCAACGCCGGGAAGCUCACCGGAUGGGACAGCAGAAUGAUUGCCGGGCUGAAGACCCUGCAUGACUAGCUG